GCGGCCUCUGCGCCUGCGCGCGAUCGCCCGGCAGACCCCGGGGAGGAGGUGCCGGAGUUGUAGGUCUUGAGCCUUCCGGCCUGGGGCGGGUCGGCUUCGUGCAUCUGCUGGGAGGAUCCUGCGAGAAAUCUGGCCUCGCUGUUGCAUUCCGGACAGUGGGGUCUGCCCCGAGAGUGGGACGCAGUCUCUGAUGAGUGUCCCACCUUAAGACUUGUCACGGCUGGCCAGCUAAGCUAUGUGGACCCAGCUACGGGCUAUGUAGUGCUCACAAGACUGGCCCACUUGCAGAGAGGUGCCUGCUGUGGUUCUGCCUGCAGACAUUGUCCAUAUGGCCAAGUCAAUGUGAAAGAUCCAUCUAAAAAGAAGCAAUUCAACUCCUACUUUUAUGUUUGACAACAACUUUACCUCUGUUCUGUCAAGUUGAAUUAAUGUUUUUGAAAAUAAAGCCCUAACCUAGAAUUCUUAUCUGUUGCAAAUAUUUGAACACCUAUUUAGUAUUAAGUGCAUGUAUUCAAAAGAACAUCCAUAAAAUGGACAUGAUUUUCCUUCCUUUUUGCUGCACGAUCACAUGCAUAUGUUGAAGAUGAAAACAAUGGCUGUCCUAUUAGUAUAUGAAAGCAGCCGCUGGGCCACAGGAGUACCAUUGGGUUUUCCUUAGCUUUGCUACCCCCCGUGUUUUCUCAUCAGUGCAAAGAAGGUUGCUGGCAAAUAGCAAGUACAUUCUUCACUUUAUUUACGCCAUCAGCUUAAGGAGAUGGGUAUAAUGCCAUGUAGUGCAGCAUACCCCAAGAAAUGCCAUCCUCCAGCAAGAGAUGCUCUCAUUGUCCAUCUGUUCUUUCAGUGUAAAUUUCAGAGCAUUUUAACCUAGGGGUCGGGCCACUAAACGUCCCUCCCUUAGAUCAUUUUUCAUUCUCCCUCUUCCCAGUCUGCCACAUUUUCUUUUGACACUUCUGAGGCAUAGCUACCUUUGAACAUCUUUUCUUGCCCUGCAUCCAUUUUGUCCACUGUGGUGAUUCCCCUGUGAGAGCCCAGCCUCUGGUGAGGCAAGUUCUCCCAUGGACUCUUCUUUUCACACCUUCUCUGCUUCCUUAGCAGGACAGCAGCCACUGAGAAGCCCUUUGUCUGCAGGUGGAAGAGUGAUGAAAUAAAAUGAGGCUUGUUGCCCAGAGUUGACCCUCAAACAUGAACCACUCAGAGACUAUCAGAUCUUAAGUAACCAAAAGGUUCUAGAGCCAAAUAAAAGUCCAUCUUAGCUAUAAAAUAUGGGAAAACAAAUUUCUAGUGAUUCUGUUUUUCUUUAGUUACUACUUUGUUAUUUACAUACUUUUCAUGCCCCAUAUUAAAUUGCCCCCAAUGCCUG
RNAcentral lists this long non-coding RNA (1360 nucleotides) under Cricetulus griseus (Chinese hamster). RNAcentral's name for it is "lncRNA (ENSCGRG00000025997.1)". Lineage: Eukaryota; Metazoa; Chordata; Mammalia; Rodentia; Cricetidae. The record is from RNAcentral.